This 193-nucleotide ribosomal RNA is filed under the name uncultured bacterium. RNAcentral describes it as "partial 16S ribosomal RNA". It matches the Rfam family "Bacterial small subunit ribosomal RNA", at positions 1298 to 1500 of the family's 1533-position model. The record is from RNAcentral.
UUGUAGGCUGCAACUCGCCUACAUGAAGUCGGAGUUGCUAGUAAUCGCGGAUCAGAAUGCCGCGGUGAAUGCGUUCCCGGGUCUUGUACACACCGCCCGUCACACCAUGGAAGCUGGGGGCGCCCGAAGUUGGUCGGGAAAUAGAUUACCUAAGGCGAAACCAAUGACUGGGGUGAAGUCGUAACAAGGUACC